RNAcentral lists this long non-coding RNA (1355 nucleotides) under Numida meleagris (helmeted guineafowl). Its description in RNAcentral is "lncRNA (ENSNMEG00000018340.1)". The record is from RNAcentral. Lineage: Eukaryota; Metazoa; Chordata; Aves; Galliformes; Numididae.
GAGAUUUUCUGAAGGAGAAUGGGAAGAGGAAAGCAAUGUGGUCAAAAUGUAGGACAUCAUAUUGAAGUCAACCCGCAUAGUUACAUUACUGUGAGAGAAGAAUAAUUCUGAACACACUAAUAUUUCCACUUACUAUUUAAUCUUUCUGAAACUCGCACAUAUGCCAUAUACCUAGCAGAUGCCAAGGUUCUGCCAUUUUUUGUCACUCGCAGUCAUUCAAGAAUACUAUUACAUCUUUUUAGGAAUUUGGUGGAGGGAUGACUGGAAUCUCAAGGAAGACCUGUGCCCUGCAGAUUUCCAGUUCUGCUUUCAUGGAUGUUGUCAGAGGGUCCCCAUCUCCAGGGAACAACAAUGAAAUAGAGUAAUUGAAUGUGGCACUGCAGCUCUCUGAGCUUCUCCUCACUUAUCAGUGCCGGUUACUGCUUCCCCUCAUUAAUUCCAUUACAGGGGCUGGCAGCCACUGACUUGACAUGCCCCUGUCUGAGCUGAAAUCACUUCUUCAGCAGAUGCCAGCCCCUCACUCCUCACUCACAGGGCUGUUCUGACACAGUCAGUGCAACUUCUCACAUGCUGGAGCUGGAAGGAGCAACCUGAGGCUCAUUCACUAUCCCAACCCAAAAAAAGGGAAUAUGUGGUAACUUAGCUCAUGUCAUUAUUUUGCAUCAUCAACUUUGUACAGGAUAGUAGUAAGUGUGGAAUUCCAUGUAGCCAGUAAAUAACACGUAACAAAAAUGAACGUAAAAAGAAAAGCUAUUGUGGAAAGGUGACAAGGUGACAAGCACACAGCCCAGAGAAGGAAGAGAAAAGCACAACCCACGUUAAUUCCUCCUGCUUUGCUGAUUACUAUGUAACAGAUUACUUCGAAAAUCGCUACUGGAACCUUUACUCGAAGAGAUGAAAUUAAAUGGCAGGCCUGAGAAAUGCAGAUCAGCAGAGAACACCUGACCAGGCAUAAUAACACAGGACUAUGAGAUUGGGAAGGCUGUUAACAUCCAUUUGCCCAAGUACUAAAUAACAGCCCCAGUUUGCAGUCCAUACAAAAAUAGAUAGAUAGAUAGACAGAUAGAUAAUCAAACAAAACAGAAGUAGGAGAGCCUUAAUAGAUCACCUUACAUACCAUCUAUACUGAAAAAUACCUGCCUGGGGCAGCAUAAUUUAGACCAUUCUUGAAGAGCGAUCGGCUACUGGGUGCACUGUAUUUGAAUUAAAGUUUCACCUUCAGAACCUUAUCUGCUCCAUUAUAGCUGACAAAAUGGAUAUAAAACAUAUUAAGAUUCACAUUUGCAUAUUAAUAUAAAUAUAUGUAUGUUAAAUACUGAGAAAAGUGAGUAACUUUAAGAAUACUUCUACACCCA